RNAcentral lists this long non-coding RNA (1457 nucleotides) under Hordeum vulgare. RNAcentral describes it as "long non-coding RNA (HVUL_LNC002793)". The record is from RNAcentral. Lineage: Eukaryota; Viridiplantae; Streptophyta; Magnoliopsida; Poales; Poaceae.
GCUUCCUGUUGUGCAAUCUACAAGGGUACGUAGAUCCAAAUCUCCUCUCGUAGAUGGACACCACCAUGAUAGAUCUUCGUGUGCGUAGGAAAUUUUUGUUUCCCAUGCAACAUUCCCCAACAGUCUCGAGGGCAUGACUAUGUGUGGAACUCGGCAGGCGGCUGGUGGCUGUGGUUCGGUCACGCGGCUGAUGGUGGGGCCAACUGGUUUGGUCUGUGGAGGGGAGGACGAUGCCAAGCGAAAGUCUGUCUGUGACCAUGCUCGGAGCCGGCAGCGGCGGUGUCUACGGGCGUCGUUGCCUUCUUGAAGGCGUUGUUGUGGUGAUGUGCUCCUCUCCCUUAUCAUCUCCUUCUCCGAGGGAAACCUUAGAUAUGUGCUCUCUCAGAUCGGAUGAUGACGGCGCAUUGUGUCGUUUCCCUCUUGUGGGCAUCAUUUUUGGAGUAGGGAUUAGCCGGAGGGACCAACGGUGAAGUGGUGGAGGUGGUGCGACUGCUUGGAGUCGACGGUGGUUGUUCGAUGGUGUUCUUGGGGGCUUUGCGGCGGUGCCUUUGGCGUUAUAGGGCGUCCAUCUGUUUUCCCCCUUGUGAGCUCGACCAUUCUUUGAUGUGGUUAUGAUUCUUCCUUCCGAAGUCGGGUUAGCUGGGUGUGCUCCUCUCCGGACCACUUCGUUCCCGUACGACACCUCUCCUUGUGGGUGUUGUUGGGUGGUGACCAGACGGACAACGUUCAAGGCUCUCCUCGCUUGAUCAGAUGAAGUUGGAUGUUGAGGCCCCCUUUGUGUUGGUUGUGCUGGUGGUGUUUUUCUUCAUGUCCUUCUCUUCGGCUGCCCUUUGGGUGACUUCUGUGCUUGCUCAAGACACUAUCAUGGUUGCCGUUGUGCUGCGGCGAGCUUCAGGCUCUUGGAGUGGCCUUGGUUCAUCUUUGGUCAAUGACGAAGCAAUGAUGCCUCCCCAACCUGCUAAUCGUUUCGACCUCCCGUGGCAGAUCUUCCAGUCAAGGUUCGUGUUUAGUUCGACACUCGUUGGUUAUGGUUGAUCCUUUGUUGUGCCGUGGGGCUCGAUACGCACGUCAGUGCGGUGCGUCAGGUUAUUUGCAGAGUAUUGCUAUAAUGGAUCUGGUGAGGAUUUUUGUCAGGCAAUGAAAAGUGUUGUGCUCGGACGCCAAUGGUAUGCUUCUUCUCCGAUGUUUAAGGCUUCUGAACCAUCGAAGAGGGCAGUUGUUUAGGGUCGUCUGGUGACCGUAUCGAGGUUGACAGAGUCAAGGGUGGUUUUGGUGUUGUUGUUGCAUAUCUCUAUGUUCCCUCUCUUUUGCCAUGUCAAUUGCUUUGUAAUAGGGCUUAAAAUUAGCUGAACUUGCCUAUUUGUUUCUCUAAUCGCCGCUCAGGCUGUCCUCCGAGGACUCAUACUUUUGCUGAUGCUUUGCCUUGGCUUUAAUAAAAUUGGGGCUGGAGGGAGACC